AACAUAUAUACAAAUAUUUAUGUCUAUCUUUCUUGCUGAGUAAAUAGAUUGAUCUCUAAUGCGGUCCAAACCAUGAAAUGAAGACUUCUAACAUAGAAACCAGAACAAAGAUUAAGAUGGUUGACCGGGUAAGGUGAUUUUGUCAUGCUCCGAGGGUGUGAAAGUUGAGCUUUCCACCGGUAGAAUAUGAACCAAUGAAAAACAUAAGCAAGAAGGGGAAGAAGAAGAUGAGUAAUUGAAAGUUGAUGGCAGUGUUGUGUAACUGAGCCUUGAAGUUUUUGUACUGAGAAAAACAUAACAAGCUAAUGACGAUGCCAAAUACCAUGAACAAGUGGAAUGGGGGUGCAGAAACAGAAGCCAUGCUCUUUCCUUUCCAUCCCUGUUUCAAUUCUGUACCCCUUCUCUUAGACUCCAUUCUGUUUCUUUUCUUUUUUAAUUUGUUUUACUCACCCACCUCCUGCAAAUUAUAUUUGUUGCUUAAUUGAUGAGAUGAGAUGAGCUUCGUUACUUCUCAUAUUAGUUUGGUUUUGGCAUAUUCUUUGUGUGUGAUCAGCAUUUUCGCAAGUUCGUA
This 571-nucleotide long non-coding RNA is filed under the name Medicago truncatula (barrel medic). Its description in RNAcentral is "lncRNA gene20042". The record is from RNAcentral. Lineage: Eukaryota; Viridiplantae; Streptophyta; Magnoliopsida; Fabales; Fabaceae.